RNAcentral lists this ribosomal RNA (253 nucleotides) under uncultured bacterium. RNAcentral's name for it is "partial 16S ribosomal RNA". It matches the Rfam family "Bacterial small subunit ribosomal RNA", at positions 524 to 776 of the family's 1533-position model. The record is from RNAcentral.
UACGUAGGUGGCAAGCGUUGUCCGGAUUUAUUGGGUUUAAAGGGUGCGUAGGCGGUUCCAUAAGUCAGUGGUGAAAUACGGCAGCUCAACUGUCGAGGUGCCAUUGAUACUGUGGAACUUGAGUACAGACGAGGUAGGCGGAAUUGACGGUGUAGCGGUGAAAUGCUUAGAUAUCGUCAAGAACACCGAUAGCGAAGGCAGCUUACUAGGCUGUAACUGACGCUGAUGCACGAAAGUGUGGGGAUCAAACAGG